This 254-nucleotide ribosomal RNA is filed under the name uncultured bacterium. RNAcentral's name for it is "partial 16S ribosomal RNA". It matches the Rfam family "Bacterial small subunit ribosomal RNA", at positions 524 to 776 of the family's 1533-position model. The record is from RNAcentral.
UACGUAGGGGCCUAGCGUUGUCCGGAUUUAUUGGGCGUAAAGAGCUCGUAGGCGGUUCGGUAAGUCAGGUGUGAAAUCUCCACGCUCAACGUGGAGGCGCCACCUGAAACUGCCGUGACUCGAGUCCGGUAGGGGAGUGUGGAAUUCCCGGUGUAGCGGUGAAAUGCGCAGAUAUCGGGAGGAACACCGGUGGCGAAGGCGGCAUCCUGGACCGAUAUUGACGCUGAUGCGCGAAAGCCAGGGGAGCAAACAGG